RNAcentral lists this long non-coding RNA (697 nucleotides) under Triticum aestivum (bread wheat). Its description in RNAcentral is "long non-coding RNA (TAES_LNC023064)". The record is from RNAcentral. Lineage: Eukaryota; Viridiplantae; Streptophyta; Magnoliopsida; Poales; Poaceae.
UGUUAUAUUUUUAAGAAUUUAGUCAAAAUUGAUCCUGUGUAUACCCUUCUUCCCAACCGUGCUUGAGAACUACUGUAUUACAUAGUUGACGUGUUACGUAGAUGUGUAGCUGAACCUGUGCUGGAGGCCGAGACUUUGCCCGAAAACUCCAUGGAUGGUCGGAGGACGUGAUCCCAGGAGAACAAAGUUGUCUGGUCUUUAUCGCCAAAGCUUCUCUCUGAGUCGCGAGUUGUAGCAUGCCCGCACCCGACCUCAAAAACCUGCAAAACAAAACAGGGGAAGAUAAAAGUAGGGGGAGCACGAACUGAGAGGGAGAGGAUUGGGCCGUGGCCGGUUACCAGAUCGGCGCCACGUCGGCCUGACGAUACGAGCCCAACGGCGGCGACCCCUGGGAUGCCAGGAGCUCAAGCCCACGCCCUCCUCGACGGUCGAAGGCGAAGCUGCUUCGAAUCCUUUGGUCGCCCGCUUCGGCGGGCUCGGUCCAUCGCGAGUGGCAGGCUGCAGAGGGAACAAAGCGCCAUCGAUGGUGACGGAUUUGGAUGCCGAUCUCACAAAGCGCCGGAUUCGGUAGCGAGACUGUGGAGGCGAGCAGAUCGGGAGGAGUAGGGCCAGGGCAAAGGGUUGGCGUGGGUUCGUUUGGGAGCGAGAGAGAGCGAGAUCGCGUUGACUCACGUUCAGUUUUUUUUUUCAGCGGAAA